UGAGGAAUAUUGGUCAAUGGACGAGAGUCUGAACCAGCCAUGCCGCGUGAGUGAUGAAGGCCUUAGGGUUGUAAAGCUCUUUUGUCCGGGAAGAUAAUGACCGUACCGGAAGAAUAAGCUCCGGCUAACUUCGUGCCAGCAGCCGCGGUAAUACGAAGGGAGCUAGCGUUGUUCGGAAUUACUGGGCGUAAAGGGCGCGUAGGCGGUACUAUAAGUUAGAUGUGAAAGCCCCGGGCUUAACCUGGGAACUGCAUUUAAUACUGUAGAACUAGAGGACGAGAGAGGAAAGUGGAAUUAUGAGUGUAGAGGUGAAAUUCGUAGAUAUUCAUAAGAACACCAGUGGCGAAGGCGACUUUCUGGCUCGUAUCUGACGCUAAGGCGCGAAAGCGUGGGGAGCAAACA
RNAcentral lists this ribosomal RNA (402 nucleotides) under uncultured bacterium. Its description in RNAcentral is "bacterial SSU rRNA". It matches the Rfam family "Bacterial small subunit ribosomal RNA", at positions 355 to 774 of the family's 1533-position model. The record is from RNAcentral.